UGACUAUGAAUUUGAGCCAAAGGUAAGUUAACUUGAUAACAAAUAAAAUUUUAACAAUUAAACCUUGUGUUAAUGUCACAGAAUCCCUUAUAUUAGGGUUUCUGCUACCGGGAAUUUAUAAAUAAAGGGAGAGAAAAGACUAGAAGAUAGAGAGAAAAAUGAAUAUUCUUUUUCAAUCUCAACUGAUGCCCAAUUAUACUGGUGCAUUUCCUAUUUAUAGUGCAAUCCUAUAGCUGUUCUAGUUACUCCCUUACUGCUUCAACUUCCUACAGUUACAUCAGCUCACAAUCGACUCACAUUCCCUCUAAGAACUAUCCUCUCUCGACUCCACCAUCUAUUCAUUUCUUCUAGCUCAUGGA
This 359-nucleotide unclassified non-coding RNA is filed under the name Hevea brasiliensis (rubber tree). Lineage: Eukaryota; Viridiplantae; Streptophyta; Magnoliopsida; Malpighiales; Euphorbiaceae. The record is from RNAcentral.